RNAcentral lists this ribosomal RNA (253 nucleotides) under uncultured bacterium. Its description in RNAcentral is "partial 16S ribosomal RNA". It matches the Rfam family "Bacterial small subunit ribosomal RNA", at positions 524 to 776 of the family's 1533-position model. The record is from RNAcentral.
UACGGAGGGUGCGAGCGUUGUCCGGAAUCACUGGGCGUAAAGGGCGCGUAGGCGGCGCGGGCAGUCAACGGUGAAAGCUUGGGGCUCAACCCCGAGUCGGCCGUCGAUACUCCCGGGCUGGAGCACUGUAGAGGAAGAUGGAAUUCCCGGUGUAGCGGUGAAAUGUGUAGAGAUCGGGAGGAACACCGGUGGCGAAGGCGGUCUUCUGGACGGUGACUGACGCUGAGGCGCGAAAGCGUGGGGAGCAAACGGG